UGUGCGAAACCAGUAAAUAAUGCUACUGGUUUGCCUGGUGGCCUUUUGUUUGGAGAGAUGUUUGGAAACAUUUCAAAGCCGUCCCAGAAAAGGGAUAUGGGUCUGGGACGCGUGGUGUUCUUCUGUGGGCUCUUGACUUGCACUCACAGCUCCACAGGUGCCUUCUCUAUUGCGCAAGACUGGAGAUGUUGAGCCAGGUUUUUCUGACAAGAGAGCUGGCAUGUCUCCUGCCUUUUGAGUUAUCUCACUUGAAUGAAUGAAGCCCAGAAGGAACUUUCCAAGGGUCCGUGGUUUUACCCUACACCGCUCAGCUCCUGUUCCUAGUUCUUAGGGCUCGGUCAAGCUCUAGGAGCCUAGGUGUUUCUGCCUAACCCACUUCUCCUUUGCUCCUUUUUAAUAUCAAAUCCAUGACCUCAAUUGAGAGGCAUUCUUUCUACACAGAAAGAAAAAAAAUAGUGAUUCUUGAGUCACUUUGAUGUCAUUUGAAGUCACUUUAACAAGAACAUUACAAGGAUGAAAGGAUUAAAAUAAAGAAUAUUGUCCUCCAGAACUUAUGCCCCUGGAGGGAAACUUCCUUUUGUCCUUUAGGGUGGCUGUAUGGCUUGCAUGAAGAAGCUCUGAAGCUUGAGAUAGUCAUUUAUGAAACUCUUAAGUUGAAAUCCUGAAAUGAUUUUAGACUUCAGUCUGGGUGCGGAAACCCCAGUGUUGACAGGCACUGGGGAACAGAAUAGGGGGAGGUGUCCUUUCUGAAGCCACAAACUGGAAAAAUGAAAUGGUGUUCCCAGUAAAAGGCUGCUGCGCUGUUAAGAAACGCUAUCUUUAUCCUUUGGUGUGGUCAUUAUUAAAUCUCAUUUUAAAGUAGCUUAGACCUAUUUAUGAAUAGCCACAUGUGUAGUGGUAUUGAUCAGAGAAGGUUGACCAUGUAUGUUGUUGAGAUGUAUGUUGUUGGGUGUCCUGACCUCAAGGGAUGGGGACAAAAAUUCUUCUCUUUGUAGAUUUAUGUUUUUAAUUCUAAGUGAUCCCGAAAAAAUAAAACAAUAAUGCAGAGAAGAUGAAGCAGCAGUUUAGGUUUAAUUCUAAGGACUCUUAAGAAUUUGGGAAUUAACUUGUGGGAAUUGAAUACCCUCUAACUGUUGUGGUCCAGGAUGCGGCACCAAGCUGUGGGAGUUGGGUGCCACUGAUGCACGAGAGUCCUGUUAGGUCCAUAGUUUCCAUGAAUCACACCCUGGCUUGCCUAGAUCUUCUUCUAAUGUCUGGCCACUAUAUUUCUGUCCAUUACCCAUCUUCCAGAAUUAGAAAGCCUUCUUUCAUUUUUGAUAGUUUCUUUCUCUCUGGUAUCCUUUAACAUCACCAAAAAAUGCCUGAGGUUAAUGGGUACUAGGUUCCCUGCCUCAUCUGGAACUCUGUCCUCUGGGCUCAAUGAUAGAGUGUCACAGACAGGUGGGAACCUGGGGUCAUGUUCUUCGACAGCAUAUGCCAAGUACUCUCUAGCUGAGGCCAUAAGUGGAAAGCAAUAAACUUCAGAGACCAGAUGAGAUCUAAGAAGGAGCUCCAAGUGGUACCCAGCUCUGUUGGAGAUGAGACUAUGAUGAGAGAAUGGGAUGAAAGCCCAAUGUGGAUGUUAGUUUCUAGGUUGAUGGUAACUGGAAGAGCUUCUGAGUGAUGCCCAUGUAACAGAAGAGAGUGAGUCACUUGUGGACCGAUGGACACUGCCUCUCCGAGUGCUUAGAUGAAGCCCUUCAUCACUAUUGCUACUUAAGUCAGUCUGACCGUUGCCUUAAAGGUAAACUGUAUUCAGAAAAAAUGGGAAAAAAAACUCAGAAAAGUAUCAAAGCAGAAACCCAGAUAAGAAUAUAGACAGGGAAUUAAAAAUGGGAGAGAAGUUAGGCUCCAGCAACAGAGAUGAUGGGGGUCAGGAGAAGAUGAAAUAAUCAAGAAAAAGAGGAACACCCUAAGGAAAAGAACAAUGGGAAGGAAGUCCAGAAUGCUCUACGAAACCAGAACAGAACCAGGAGAUGAAACCUUUUCCUCUCCCUCUACUUUCUUCCUGUCCUCCUCCUCCUUACCUUCAAACCCUUGCCAAGUGCUGAGUAGGCACAGGGAUAGCUGUGACAGUCUCCUGUUGCAUGGUGGAAGGAGUGCCUUUUGUAGAAAGAAUGAAAUUGUGUCUCCACUGACUGCCUUUCCUGGGCAUAGAGGAGGAGAGGGGCAAAGACACCCAAAGUCCCCAAAAUGAAGGAGGAGCUAUCUCAGCAACUCUUGACUUUAGUUUAGAGAGCAGCUGAUCUGUGUCAGCAAGGGACUCACAGCAUCAUUGUUGGUUGCCUUUGGCCAGUAACUGGGACCGUUACAAGCACAGAACAGGCAACUGGAAUGAGCCGGGUGGGAGGAGCCCUGGGUUGUGGUUGGGCCCACAGUCAUUGACAGGGAGAGCUGUGCAUUUCUUUUCUCAAAGUGCCCUCCAUGUUGCUGUGGGUUGUCUAGUAGCAGCUCGCCUUGUCUUUUAUUGUGGUCAUCAUGAAGCGGGGAGGGGAGAAACGGAUAAGCCUUAUUAGAGGUGGGGGAAAAGCUACCUUGCAUUCCCAAACUAACAAAACCAGAAAGCAAAGGCAAAGAAUUUGGCAUCUAAUGCCUGGGCUCCUGCAGGCUGGGAAACCCGAGCAGCACAGCAAAACCUUACUGUUGUAGGGGAAGAUAUUGUUGAGAGAUGGAGGGGGGUCCUUGCUGAGGCUGGACUUUCUCUUAUAGAGUCUUUUUUGGAGUUGUGUGUGUUUGCUAUUUUACGAGCUCUGAAGACCUAUCCACACAGUACCCACAGGAUAUGAGGGAGCCCAAGGAUCAUGUUCCAUCUAGCUUGGAACGGUAAAGCCGGCCCUGAGAAAUGAGUUGCGAGCUUCCAGAGUUUCGGGAGCCUAGUGCUUGACUUGGUCUGGGAAACUCUUUCUGCCAUGGUCUUGCAAUGGACAGGUCUCCUGGCCAGAGUUCAAAAUGAAUGGAGACCAAAGCACAGACAGGCACUACCGUUAGUGGUAUCACUGUCAUUUUACCCAAGGGCUUGAGGAACGUUUGCUGUUCAUGGUUCUGUAAUGAGGGAUGGUGUUCUAGAGAGGUAGCUACUCACAUGGCAGCAGCACCAUGUUUUUUUCUCUUUGGCCAUGGGCCUUUGAAACGUUCAGAUUGCCACUAUUCUUGGACGGCGUCUAGCUGCCAAGGACCCAACCCAGGUUCACAACCGUUGUGAUGGUGUCGAGCUGUACACCCACUCUCUCUUCGUUCCUUCCAGCAGAUGUCAUAAGAGCUGAGCACCAUAAGGGUGACUAGCUUAUGGGUUCCUCCCUUGAUUUCUCUGGAUGAUUGUGUAUAGAGGCAGUAUGCAAAUUUCCCGACAUCUGAAUCCUUCAUAAAGUUGGAAAGUUUGUUUUCCAGGUCUUGUAUUUUCCCCUGGGUGAACGAUUCUUUUCCUUUGCCUCUUCUCCCAACACUCUGCUGUCUUCUAUGAACUGACUAUUUCACAGCUACUGUGCAAAAGGAAGUCUCAACCUCCCUAACAAACCUGGGUGACUUGCUGCUGCUGAUUUCAGGUUGGGUUUGGUUUGAAAUGGAGUUGGAUUCUCUAUUUCAAAGUUAGCAAUGUCAAAUGACAGGCUUGCUGUUGGCAGUCCUCGGAGAAUGGCCUGCAACUUUACAGAGUCCUGGGGGGCUUUCGCUGACAUGCCCAUAUUGAAAGGGUUUGACACCGAGUUUCCCCUUGAGGGAUAGCAGAAGCCCUGAUCCCUACCCUAAACACUCUGCACUUGAACUGAGUACACAAGUCAGUGUUCUUGUUCUGGGCCACGUUCAUGUUGGAAAAUCUCCUGAUGUCUUUGGACUUUGGUUUCCUCAAGGUCAAAAUUGGGAUAAUGAUACCCACCUCACAGGGUUGUUGUGAGGACUGAAUAUGCUCUACAAUCUUCAUGUUAGUAAACUACGAUUGAAAAGCUAGCUUUAACCAGCUCGGGCAGUGGCUCAGAGUGGUAGGAGCACCUAACGCUGAGUGCCUUGUGCCAAGGUCGCAGGUUGGAAUCCUGCUUGCGACUGCUGUCGAUCGUCAUAUAGAUAUGAUCUAUAUGCUGAAUCGAUGAUGAAAUUGGCAUAUCGCUGCUGAUUAAUAAUCGGAAAAAAAAAAGAAAAGAAAAGCUAGCUUUAAACAUGCAUUGGCCAUAUAGAGAACAUGUAUGCAGAUAUUACUGCCACUGUACAUGUCGUUGCAUGCUGCCUGGGCUAAUCUCUGCACUAAAAUGCCUAUAUGUAAAUGUGGAUAUAUAGAAAGGUUUGCAGCACUCUUCAGUUUCCUAAAGGGGGCCCCAGACCUUCAAAAUCUGGAAGCCAGUGUUUCAGACUUGAAGAAGCUGGAUUCAAAAAUAGUGAUUACUUCUAGAAGUUUCCUUUGAACAUGACCACAGAACUGAUUGCAAUAAUUUUAGAGGCAGUUCAUUAACAUGUCCUGAUUUUUCAGUAUUUAGUUUGUGUGCUUUGUGAUGUCAAGGGUUGAACCCAAGAUUUUAUGUAUGCUAGAUGCGUUCUAGACUUGGCCACAUCCCCAGUUCAUUAUGUGGCCUGAUGACAGAGCAUGUGAGGCUGAGAAUGCCAGAUGUGCCCAUGGAUUGCCAUCAGAUUAUCCAACUGUCAUUCAUUCAAAGCUGGGCAUAAUGCAAAACUAUUCAAUACUUGGCCCAAAGAAGUUUGAUGUGACUCAGUCUGUUGACUCAUUUGAGAAGAAUGUGAUCUGGAGAAUUGCCGGAGACUCUUAUUUUGAUCCACUAGGUGAAACCAAAACGAAACUUGGAAGGAUUAUCAUGGCUGAAAUAAGUGAACUUCAAAACGAGGAGGCAAUCAGACUAGCCAACAGGGAACACAUGAGCCUGUCGGGUCGGGAGACAACAUUGGAGCCGGAAGAAAGCUACCGGGCUGCUAUUUAUUGUUGAAGGCUCUGACUCCGAGAGACACUCAAGCUCCGCAUUCCAUUUUGGGACCAACAUUUUAGAGCAUGCAGUCCUUCCGGGAGCGAACUUUCUCACAGGAGCGAGUGCUGUGUGAUGUGGCUGGUCCGGCUUUUUUGGGAAACAGCCAUGCAGAUGCCUCAGGACUCAAACUUGACUCCUUGGAUUGAGAGAGAGAGACACCAGCGGAGAUGUGACUCUUUAGAAGUGGACAAGCUAUUGAUGAACCGGUUGCCAAGCCUUUAAGCCUUCUUCUUGGAGCACAUUUAACUGACAUUUAGGAAGGAUUACAUCUCAGGUCCCAUGGCAGAAGAUGAGUGGUCACCAGCCAGAGAUCCAGACAAGAGCCUCAGGAUGUGAUAUCUGGAAGUUUUUCUGACAUGGAAAGGGGUGUGGGGGAGGGCAGGUAUCACUCUGCACAGCAGCAUGGGAUUGGCAGAUUCUAUGACAUGGAUGCUUCUUGGGAAUGAUGGGUCACUGCUCGUAGAACUCUAUGCUGUCACCUAUCCAGCUUGGAGGUGCAUACAUGUUGCACCUUCUGAAGGGAUCUGCCAACUCACAAUGUAUUUCAAAAUGAUAUUAGAACACUAUUCUGUGUACCUUGAUGACAGACAAGCUGAAGAAAAUGUGUAUAAAAUAUCUUCCAAACAUAAACGAAAUGUUUGGUUCUGUACAUAGUAGAUGAUGAUGGUCUCUUCAUAUUAUUUGAGUGCAAAGAUGUUAUAUUUGAGUCUUUAACUUAAGAAGCACAGUGAUAGCUGUUCUAUAUUAACCAGUGUAGGCUUCUUAGUUGCUGGUUGUGCCAGAGUCCAUCCUAACUGGGAAAAAACUAGUGGAGCGUGGAGACCUUUAUCUCUGGCCCAUUGGGUUGUGUUGUACCUUAGCUACUAUUCUAUUGCUGCAAUGAAACAUCAUGACCAAGGCAACUUAUAAAAGCAAGCAUUUAAUUGAGGUCUUGUUUAUGGUUUCAGAGGGAUAGCCCGUGACUAUUAUGGUGGGAAACUUGGCAGCAGGCAGGUAAGCAUGGAACAGCAGCAGUAGU
Molecule: long non-coding RNA, 6021 nt
Organism: Myodes glareolus (Bank vole)
Lineage: Eukaryota; Metazoa; Chordata; Mammalia; Rodentia; Cricetidae
Source: RefSeq, a predicted model, not a curated record